Molecule: ribosomal RNA, 2210 nt
Filed under: Staphylococcus aureus
Lineage: Bacteria; Bacillati; Bacillota; Bacilli; Caryophanales; Staphylococcaceae
Description: partial 23S ribosomal RNA
Rfam family: Bacterial large subunit ribosomal RNA
Source: RNAcentral
GAAGGACGUUACUAACGACGAUAUGCUUUGGGGAGCUGUAAGUAAGCUUUGAUCCAGAGAGUUCCGAAUGGGGAAACCCAGCAUGAGUUAUGUCAUGUUAUCGAUAUGUGAAUACAUAGCAUAUCAGAAGGCACACCCGGAGAACUGAAACAUCUUAGUACCCGGAGGAAGAGAAAGAAAAUUCGAUUCCCUUAGUAGCGGCGAGCGAAACGGGAAGAGCCCAAACCAACAAGCUUGCUUGUUGGGGUUGUAGGACACUCUAUACGGAGUUACAAAGGACGACAUUAGACGAAUCAUCUGGAAAGAUGAAUCAAAGAAGGUAAUAAUCCUGUAGUCGAAAAUGUUGUCUCUCUUGAGUGGAUCCUGAGUACGACGGAGCACGUGAAAUUCCGUCGGAAUCUGGGAGGACCAUCUCCUAAGGCUAAAUACUCUCUAGUGACCGAUAGUGAACCAGUACCGUGAGGGAAAGGUGAAAAGCACCCCGGAAGGGGAGUGAAAUAGAACCUGAAACCGUGUGCUUACAAGUAGUCAGAGCCCGUUAAUGGGUGAUGGCGUGCCUUUUGUAGAAUGAACCGGCGAGUUACGAUUUGAUGCAAGGUUAAGCAGUAAAUGUGGAGCCGUAGCGAAAGCGAGUCUGAAUAGGGCGUUUAGUAUUUGGUCGUAGACCCGAAACCAGGUGAUCUACCCUUGGUCAGGUUGAAGUUCAGGUAACACUGAAUGGAGGACCGAACCGACUUACGUUGAAAAGUGAGCGGAUGAACUGAGGGUAGCGGAGAAAUUCCAAUCGAACCUGGAGAUAGCUGGUUCUCUCCGAAAUAGCUUUAGGGCUAGCCUCAAGUGAUGAUUAUUGGAGGUAGAGCACUGUUUGGACGAGGGGCCCCUCUCGGGUUACCGAAUUCAGACAAACUCCGAAUGCCAAUUAAUUUAACUUGGGAGUCAGAACAUGGGUGAUAAGGUCCGUGUUCGAAAGGGAAACAGCCCAGACCACCAGCUAAGGUCCCAAAAUAUAUGUUAAGUGGAAAAGGAUGUGGCGUUGCCCAGACAACUAGGAUGUUGGCUUAGAAGCAGCCAUCAUUUAAAGAGUGCGUAAUAGCUCACUAGUCGAGUGACACUGCGCCGAAAAUGUACCGGGGCUAAACAUAUUACCGAAGCUGUGGAUUGUCCUUUGGACAAUGGUAGGAGAGCGUUCUAAGGGCGUUGAAGCAUGAUCGUAAGGACAUGUGGAGCGCUUAGAAGUGAGAAUGCCGGUGUGAGUAGCGAAAGACGGGUGAGAAUCCCGUCCACCGAUUGACUAAGGUUUCCAGAGGAAGGCUCGUCCGCUCUGGGUUAGUCGGGUCCUAAGCUGAGGCCGACAGGCGUAGGCGAUGGAUAACAGGUUGAUAUUCCUGUACCACCUAUAAUCGUUUUAAUCGAUGGGGGGACGCAGUAGGAUAGGCGAAGCGUGCGAUUGGAUUGCACGUCUAAGCAGUAAGGCUGAGUAUUAGGCAAAUCCGGUACUCGUUAAGGCUGAGCUGUGAUGGGGAGAAGACAUUGAGUCUUCGAGUCGUUGAUUUCACACUGCCGAGAAAAGCCUCUAGAUAGAAAAUAGGUGCCCGUACCGCAAACCGACACAGGUAGUCAAGAUGAGAAUUCUAAGGUGAGCGAGCGAACUCUCGUUAAGGAACUCGGCAAAAUGACCCCGUAACUUCGGGAGAAGGGGUGCUCUUUAGGGUUAACGCCCAGAAGAGCCGCAGUGAAUAGGCCCAAGCGACUGUUUAUCAAAAACACAGGUCUCUGCUAAACCGUAAGGUGAUGUAUAGGGGCUGACGCCUGCCCGGUGCUGGAAGGUUAAGAGGAGUGGUUAGCUUCUGCGAAGCUACGAAUCGAAGCCCCAGUAAACGGCGGCCGUAACUAUAACGGUCCUAAGGUAGCGAAAUUCCUUGUCGGGUAAGUUCCGACCCGCACGAAAGGCGUAACGAUUUGGGCACUGUCUCAACGAGAGACUCGGUGAAAUCAUAGUACCUGUGAAGAUGCAGGUUACCCGCGACAGGACGGAAAGACCCCGUGGAGCUUUACUGUAGCCUGAUAUUGAAAUUCGGCACAGCUUGUACAGGAUAGGUAGGAGCCUUUGAAACGUGAGCGCUAGCUUACGUGGAGGCGCUGGUGGGAUACUACCCUAGCUGUGUUGGCUUUCUAACCCGCACCACUUAUCGUGGUGGGAGACAGUGUCA